AGCGAACGCUGGCGGCAGGCUUAACACAUGCAAGUCGAGCGGGCCCUUCGGGGUCAGCGGCGGACGGGUGAGUAACGCGUGGGAACGUGCCCUCUGGUUCGGAAUAACUCAGGGAAACUUGAGCUAAUACCGGAUACGCCCUUUUGGGGAAAGGCUUGCUGCCGGAGGAUCGGCCCGCGUCUGAUUAGCUAGUUGGUGAGGUAACGGCUCACCAAGGCGACGAUCAGUAGCUGGUCUGAGAGGAUGAUCAGCCACACUGGGACUGAGACACGGCCCAGACUCCUACGGGAGGCAGCAGUGGGGAAUAUUGGACAAUGGGCGCAAGCCUGAUCCAGCCAUGCCGCGUGAGUGAUGAAGGCCUUAGGGUUGUAAAGCUCUUUUAUCCGGGACGAUAAUGACGG
This 401-nucleotide ribosomal RNA is filed under the name Methylobacteriaceae bacterium Ellin7079. RNAcentral describes it as "bacterial SSU rRNA". It matches the Rfam family "Bacterial small subunit ribosomal RNA", at positions 29 to 457 of the family's 1533-position model. Lineage: Bacteria; Pseudomonadati; Pseudomonadota; Alphaproteobacteria; Hyphomicrobiales; Methylobacteriaceae. The record is from RNAcentral.